This 468-nucleotide ribosomal RNA is filed under the name uncultured bacterium. RNAcentral's name for it is "partial 16S ribosomal RNA". It matches the Rfam family "Bacterial small subunit ribosomal RNA", at positions 28 to 507 of the family's 1533-position model. The record is from RNAcentral.
GACGAACGCUGGCGGUGUGCUUAACACAUGCAAGUCGAACGGCAAGGCCCUGCUUUUGUGGGGUGCUCGAGUGGCGAACGGGUGCGUAACACGUGAGUAACCUGCCCUUGACUUUGGGAUAACUUCACGAAACUGGGGUUAAUCCCGGAUAGGAGCUCCUGCUGCAUGGAGGGGGUUGGAUAGUUUCGGCGGUUGGGGAUGGACUCGCGGCUGAUCAGCUUGUUGGUGGGGUAGUGGCUUAGCAAGCCUUUGACGGGUAGCCGGCCUGAGUGGGUGACCGGCGACAAGGGGACUGAGAUACUGCCCAGAAUGCUACGGGAGGCAGGGGUGGGAAAUAUGGCACAAUGGGCGGAAGCCUGAGACAGCAUCGUCGCGUGCGGAAUGACGGGCUGCGGGUUGUAAACGGCUGUCGCUUGUGACGAAGCGUGAGUGACGGUAAUGGGUGAAGAAGCACCGGCUAACUACGUG